CAACAGGGAUUGCCCCAGUAACGGCGAGUGAAGCGGCAACAGCUCAAAUUUGAAAUCUGGCUCUCGGGCCCGAGUUGUAAUUUGUAGAGGAUGCUUUUGGUGCGGUGCCUUCCGAGUUCCCUGGAACGGGACGCCAUAGAGGGUGAGAGCCCCGUCUGGUUGGAUGCCAAUCCUCUGUAAAGCUCCUUCGACGAGUCGAGUAGUUUGGGAAUGCUGCUCUAAAUGGGAGGUAUAUGUCUUCUAAAGCUAAAUACCGGCCAGAGACCGAUAGCGCACAAGUAGAGUGAUCGAAAGAUGAAAAGAACUUUGAAAAGAGAGUUAAAAAGUACGUGAAAUUGUUGAAAGGGAAGCGCUUGUGACCAGACUUGGGCUUGGUUGAUCAUCCAGGGUUCUCCCUGGUGCACUCUACCGGCUCAGGCCAGCAUCAGUUUGCCCCGGGGGACAAAGGCGUCGGGAAUGUGGCUCUCUCCGGGGAGUGUUAUAGCCCAGCGCGUAAUACCCUGAGGCGGACUGAGGUUCGCGCAUUCGCAAGGAU
This 535-nucleotide ribosomal RNA is filed under the name Fusarium acutisporum. Its description in RNAcentral is "partial large subunit ribosomal RNA". It matches the Rfam family "Eukaryotic large subunit ribosomal RNA", at positions 66 to 624 of the family's 3401-position model. The record is from RNAcentral. Lineage: Eukaryota; Fungi; Ascomycota; Sordariomycetes; Hypocreales; Nectriaceae.